CCGGCGCACGGUGGCGUAACGCGUAUGCAAUCUACCUUUUGCAGAGGGAUUAGCCCAGAGAAAUUUGGAUUAAUACCUCAUAGUAUAGUACUUUGGCAUCAAGGAACUAUUAAAGUUCCAACGGUGAAGAUGAGCAUGCGUCCCAUUAGCUAGAUGGUAAGGUAACGGCUUACCAUGGCUACGAUGGGUAGGGGUCCUGAGAGGGAGAUCCCCCACACUGGUACUGAGACACGGACCAGACUCCUACGGGAGGCAGCAGUGAGGAAUAUUGGUCAAUGGACGCAAGUCUGAACCAGCCAUGCCGCGUGCAGGAUGACGGUCCUAUGGAUUGUAAACUGCUUUUGUACGAGAAGAAACAACAUUACGUGUAAUGUCUUGACGGUAUCGUAAGAAUAAGGAUCGGCUAACUCCGUG
This 414-nucleotide ribosomal RNA is filed under the name uncultured bacterium. RNAcentral's name for it is "bacterial SSU rRNA". It matches the Rfam family "Bacterial small subunit ribosomal RNA", at positions 95 to 507 of the family's 1533-position model. The record is from RNAcentral.